CCUACGGGAGGCAGCAGUGGGGAAUUUUGGACAAUGGGCGCAAGCCUGAUCCAGCAAUGCCGCGUGAGUGAAGAAGGCCUUCGGGUUGUAAAGCUCUUUUGUCAGGGAAGAAACGGUGGAGGUUAAUACCUUCUGCUAAUGACGGUACCUGAAGAAUAAGCACCGGCUAACUACGUGCCAGCAGCCGCGGUAAUACGUAGGGUGCAAGCGUUAAUCGGAAUUACUGGGCGUAAAGCGUGCGCAGGCGGUUGUGCAAGACAGAUGUGAAAUCCCCGGGCUCAACCUGGGAAUUGCAUUUGUGACUGCACGGCUAGAGUGUGUCAGAGGGGGGUAGAAUUCCACGUGUAGCAGUGAAAUGCGUAGAGAUGUGGAGGAAUACCGAUGGCGAAGGCAGCCCCCUGGGAUAACACUGACGCUCAUGCACGAAAGCGUGGGGAGCAAACAGGAUUAGAUACCCUGGUAGUCCACGCCCUAAACGAUGUCUACUAGUUGUCGGGUCUUAAUUGACUUGGUAACGCAGCUAACGCGUGAAGUAGACCGCCGUGGGGGUAGGUACGGUUCGCGAAGAAGUUAAACGUUAACGAAAGUUAGAGUUAGUUACGGGCGUUGGAGACGUUCGCCGAACGGACGACCGACGAGGGGAGGAGGAGG
RNAcentral lists this ribosomal RNA (651 nucleotides) under uncultured bacterium. Its description in RNAcentral is "bacterial SSU rRNA". The stretch from base 1 to 542 matches the Rfam family "Bacterial small subunit ribosomal RNA", at positions 338 to 873 of the family's 1533-position model. The record is from RNAcentral.